AUGCAAAGGCAUAGCAAACUAUGUGUCUCCACAUCCACCCCUAUGUCCGGACUCCAAGAUUGGACAGACCUCCCAAAGGAUCUGUUACAAUCAAUUUUCUCUCGCUUAGGCUCAAUCCAUGACCUUCUUGCCUUUGUUGCAACCUGCCGUUCUUGGCGGGUUGCAUUAACUUCAUACUCAUCCAAAUCCACCUUAUGCACUUUAUUCCCGCCUCUGCUCAUCCAGCCCAAUAUUCGUGUCCAUGUUCCUCGUCCUCCAUGUAACAAUGGUCAUCGCAACUUACAGGCAUAUAAAGUUAUCGAUCCAGCCAAGCAAAGUGCCAUUGGCCUUCACUGCCAUAUUGAUGAAGAAAUUUUGCAGACGAUGCGUUGUGCUGGCCCUUCAUAUGGUCAACUCAUCUUCUACAACCAUGGACAUUGCGUUGUUGUUGAUCCUUUUAGAGGUACCAAGGUUUCACCUCCACGUCUCCCAUUACGUGAUGAGUAUAGGAAGCUCAACUGGUCUGAUAUUCCAUUCAAACAAAAAAUAAUGGAGCUCCAACAACUAGUUACAGAGUCUUACUGCAGUGCCAUUCUAACAGCUCCUCUUGCAUCACCAAACUCGCAUAUGCUUGUUAGCACUGGCCCCUCCUUAUUUAGUUGGUCGGUUGGAAGUGAUACUUGGUCUGAACUCCAGUGUUCUGAUGUACAAAUAAUUCAGAUUGUGGAAUUCAACGGCCAAUUCAUUGCCAUGGAUCUUCGUCAACAGAUAUACACUUUGGAGAUGGCCCCCAAGCUUAGACUGCAGGAGAUAACCACUAACUGCCCCCCUGACUUGACCAAGAGUUGCCAAGACCCGUCUAGAAUAUCAUGGCUAGUGGUCUGCGGUGACAUGCUUCUGAUGUUGGUCCAUUCUUGCACGAGUAUUCAGUACAAUGCCAGUGUGUCAUUUAUCCGCACGGUCCAUUACCUUGACAUGUCAACCAAGCCUGCAAAAUGGGUGGAUAUGGAAAAGCUGGACAACUGGGCCAUCUUCACGGGGAGUGAUAUCAGGAGUACAUCAUUUUCUUGCAUGAACCCAGAACAUUGGGGAGGAAGGAGCAAAUGUCUAUAUGUUGCUCGUUCCCCUAAACCUUGGAGUGAAUAUGGGUUAGGAAAUGAGCCAGAUCCAUCUGUUGAUCCCACCCAUCAGCACUUCAGGAUCUGGUGCCACCUGAUGCAACCCCUUUGGGUGUACCCGAGCAUGCUCUAUUCAGAUGGCCCUUGA
RNAcentral lists this ribosomal RNA (1245 nucleotides) under Triticum aestivum (bread wheat). RNAcentral describes it as "partial small subunit ribosomal RNA". Lineage: Eukaryota; Viridiplantae; Streptophyta; Magnoliopsida; Poales; Poaceae. The record is from RNAcentral.